CCUACGGGUGGCAGCAGUGGGGAAUAUUGCACAAUGGGGGAAACCCUGAUGCAGCAACGCCGCGUGAGUGAAGAAGUAUCUCGGUAUGUAAAGCUCUAUCAGCAGGGAAGAAAAUGACGGUACCUGACUAAGAAGCCCCGGCUAACUACGUGCCAGCAGCCGCGGUAAUACGUAGGGGGCACGCGUUAUCCGGAUUUACUGGGUGUAAAGGGAGCGUAGACGGCAUGGCAAGUCUGAAGUGAAAGCCCGGGGCUCAACCCCGGGACUGCUUUGGAAACUGUGAGGCUGGAGUGCAGGAGAGGUAAGCGGAAUUCCUAGUGUAGCGGUGAAAUGCGUAGAUAUUAGGAGGAACACCAGUGGCGAAGGCGGCGUACUGGACAGUAACUGACGUUGAGGCUCGAAAGCGUGGGGAGCAAACAGGAUUAGAUACCCUUGUAGUC
RNAcentral lists this ribosomal RNA (440 nucleotides) under uncultured bacterium. Its description in RNAcentral is "partial 16S ribosomal RNA". It matches the Rfam family "Bacterial small subunit ribosomal RNA", at positions 338 to 795 of the family's 1533-position model. The record is from RNAcentral.